GCGGCUCUGUAAAUUUACACAGACAUUAAAUUUCGUUCUAUUCAUUUUAGACAUAUAAUGCUAAGCUGAUUUUUUUUAUAGCACACUGAUCGAUAUCUCUGUAAAAUAAUCAUUUUUUUUAACUAGCGGGGCAGUGAAAUCUUUGCUUUGUGCUAAAGUCAACAGUGACAGAGUUUGAGCUCAAAUAAAUGCCGUGAUGUCUGGAGCCCUUUGCAGAAGGCAGAAGGCGAGCUUCUACAAUGGGCUCCUGUGUGGCUUGCCAACAACAAGCACCGGCUUAUUUUUGCACAGGGCUCUGCUGACUGAAGUGAUCCCCACGGCCUGAGUGGAAGAGAGGAGGGAGAGGAAGUCUCAGAGGGAAGAGGGAUAGCUGCUGAAGAGCUGAUGCGCACACACACACACACACACACACACACACACACACACACACACUCAAACACUCACACAAUGUCCCUCUCAGUCCUGGGUUGUGACCGGCCCAUGGCAUUGGCCAGAUGCACAUGGCUUACUUUGAAGGACACUUUCCAUCCCUGCUUUCCGUCUACUUUCAUCACCCUGCAUCAUGCGACCUGAAAGCACUUCCCCGUCGAUGUACUUGGCUAUAUCUACGUCUGACCUGUCUGCCAUAUGUAAUAUCAAAGCCUCUGUCAGCGUGGAGCUGAAUGGGAACAAAAGAGAGGCCUCCAUUAAUGAUUAACUGUUCUAAAAGCCCCGGCUUUUGUAUUCCCAUGGUGCCCGGGCUAUCUGGCCACCAUGUGACAUGCUCACAGCAUUUUUCGAGCAGAUUGGGGGAAAGCUAGUGAGCAAACACAGGUGCUUUGGAGCAGCGUUGCCGACGCUGUCAGGGACAACCACAAACAAGAGCAGCUAUGCCUGGCUAAAUGAAUCCCCACCCCUCCCAACACCAUCACCACCUCCGCUGCUCCCCCCCGCUCUCAGUCGCUAGCUAACUUGUUUGCUAGCUCCCUAUAGCUUUCUCCCCUGCAAAGCCUUCCUUCUGGAGUGUCCCCACGUCCCCCCCUACAAGUCCAAUGUCCGCUACAGCCGCCGCUCCACAACUUCUCACACCCUCCAAAGAAACAAACAAAUAAAAGUGAGGACGGCCGACCACUUCUUUGAGGUGAUGGCAUUUGCUGUGGUCAUGACUAGUGGGAGAGCAAACAAAUUAAUGGUGUUCGAGUUUUCACUUUCCAAACCAAACUAAAUGUCUUUUAGUUCAAGUGGGGCAAUUCCACUGACCCUGGUGUCAAACGCUGUAUAAGGGUUGCACACUCUUGCACUUGAAAUGCUGAGAGGAGGCCGUAAGAAAUUAAACAGGGCUUGAGUAUUGGCCUACAUGGACCUGGUUUGUUAAAUGACCUAUAAAUCUUGAAUAAACUGUGUGUGUAAUAAA
This is a long non-coding RNA of Epinephelus moara (kelp grouper), 1393 nucleotides long. RefSeq lists it as uncharacterized. The transcript has 3 exons. Lineage: Eukaryota; Metazoa; Chordata; Actinopteri; Perciformes; Serranidae. The record is from RefSeq and is a predicted model, not a curated record.